This 696-nucleotide long non-coding RNA is filed under the name Homo sapiens (human). Its description in RNAcentral is "HSALNT0196994". Lineage: Eukaryota; Metazoa; Chordata; Mammalia; Primates; Hominidae. The record is from RNAcentral.
GGAAAUGCAGCUCACACUGCUGCUCUGAGCCCCACCUGCCAGCCGCUCAGCCUGGUUUCAGCUCAAGUGGGAAAAGACGUUCAGGAUUUAUGAGGUUCCGAGAGGAUAUUUAGAGCCAAAAUCUUCAUUUGCCAGAGAGCUGUAGUGGUAUUAUGGAGAUGAGAGGUUUUCUCCUGGGAAGGAGUGUGUUGCUUAGCAGAGGAAUUUCCAAAGGUCUGAGAGUGUCCAGUGCAGGAGGGAGAUGUUGCUUUCCAUGCACACGGAGAGGGGUAGCAGGAUUUGGUGGAGAAGAAGCUGAAAACCCACCACAAUACCAAGCCACACAGGGGCAAGAGUUUUGCAUGGGGCCAAGAGUGAAAGAUGCUACUGGCUCAGACAUGCAGAGUUCUGGAGACGUAAGAAAGACUCAAGACCACUGAGGAGUUGCUUGGAUCCCUGAAGAUUGCUGCAGAUGUUUCAGGAUUGGGGAGUGAGAGUUUCGACCAGGAGUGGAUACUGAGGAGAGCAAAGAUCACCUGGUGCUCAUCAAGCCGGACUUCCAGAGGCAAAGCUCCUUAACUGAAGAAUUCAGAAAUGAUCCAGUGCAGGACCCUGAGAAGCCCACAGGAGAAGAAGAAUCCCUAAAGUGAGAGAAACCUGGGCCCUUGAGUGACUGCAUGGAGAAGAGCCCCAUCAUUGACUCAUGUUAGACUGUGA